Molecule: ribosomal RNA, 492 nt
Filed under: uncultured bacterium
Lineage: Bacteria
Description: partial 16S ribosomal RNA
Rfam family: Bacterial small subunit ribosomal RNA
Source: RNAcentral
AGUGAACGCUGGCGGUAGGCCUAACACAUGCCAGUCGAACGGCAGCACAGUAAGAGCUUGCUCUUACGGGUGGCGAGUGGCGGACGGGUGAGGAAUACAUCGGAAUCUACUUUUUCGUGGGGGAUAACGUAGGGAAACUUACGUUAAUACCGCAUACGACCUACGGGUGAAAGCAGGGGAUCUUCGGACCUUGCGCGAUUGAAUGAGCCGAUGCCGGAUUAGCUAGUUGGCGGGGUAAAGGCCCACCAAGGCGACGAUCCGUAGCUGGUCUGAGAGGAUGAUCAGCCACACUGGAACUGAGACACGGUCCAGACUCCUACGGGAGGCAGCAGUGGGGAAUAUUGGACAAUGGGCGCAAGCCUGAUCCAGCCAUACCGCGUGGGUGAAGAAGGCCCUCGGGUUGUAAAGCCCUUUUGUUGGGAAAGAAAAGCAGCAGGUUAAUACCCCGCUGUUCUGACGGUACCCAAAGAAUAAGCACCGGCUAACUUCGUG